Molecule: non-coding RNA, 107 nt
Organism: Otolemur garnettii (small-eared galago)
Lineage: Eukaryota; Metazoa; Chordata; Mammalia; Primates; Galagidae
Source: Rfam
GAGUGCUUACUUUGGCACACAUAUACUAAACUUGGAAUGAUAUAGAGAAGAUUGGGAUGAUCCUGUGCAAGGAUGACACAUAAAUUCAUGAAACCCAGUCGUAAAAG